UACCAGCACCCCCGAGUGGUCGGGACGUUUAUUGGGCCUAAAGCAUCCGUAGCCGGUUCUACAAGUCUUCCGUUAAAUCCACCUGCUCAACAGAUGGGCUGCGGAAGAUACUAUGGAGCUAGGAGGCGGGAGAGGCAAGCGGUACUCGAUGGGUAGGGGUAAAAUCCGUUGAUCCAUUGAAGACCACCAGUGGCGAAGGCGGCUUGCCAGAACGCGCUCGACGGUGAGGGAUGAAAGCUGGGGGAGCAAACCGGG
Molecule: ribosomal RNA, 255 nt
Filed under: uncultured bacterium
Lineage: Bacteria
Description: partial 16S ribosomal RNA
Rfam family: Archaeal small subunit ribosomal RNA
Source: RNAcentral